Molecule: ribosomal RNA, 492 nt
Filed under: uncultured Corynebacterium sp.
Lineage: Bacteria; Bacillati; Actinomycetota; Actinomycetes; Mycobacteriales; Corynebacteriaceae
Description: partial 16S ribosomal RNA
Source: RNAcentral
CACGUAGUUAGCCGGUGCUUCUUCUACCACUACCGUCACCCCAAAGAGGCUUCGUCAUGGCUGAAAGGAGUUUACAACCCGAAGGCCGUCAUCCCCCACGCGGCGUCGCUGCAUCAGGCUUGCGCCCAUUGUGCAAUAUUCCCCACUGCUGCCUCCCGUAGGAGUCUGGGCCGUAUCUCAGUCCCAAUGUGGCCGUCCACCCUCUCAGGCCGGCUACCCGUCGACGCCUUGGUAGGCCAUUACCCCACCAACAAGCUGAUAGGCCGCGAGCUCAUCCCUUACCGAAAAAAUCUUUCCACCACACCACCUACAGCAUGGUCCUAUCCAGUAUUAGACCCAGUUUCCCAGGCUUAUCCCAAAAGUAAGGGGCAGAUCACCCACGUGUUACUCACCCGUUCGCCACUCGAGCACCCUGCAAAGCAGGGCCUUUCCGUUCGACUUGCAUGUGUUAAGCACGCCGCCAGCGUUCGUCCUGAGCCAGGAUCAAACUCU